This 1544-nucleotide ribosomal RNA is filed under the name Alcaligenes aquatilis. RNAcentral's name for it is "bacterial SSU rRNA". It matches the Rfam family "Bacterial small subunit ribosomal RNA". Lineage: Bacteria; Pseudomonadati; Pseudomonadota; Betaproteobacteria; Burkholderiales; Alcaligenaceae. The record is from RNAcentral.
AGAUUAAACUGAAGAGUUUGAUCCUGGCUCAGAUUGAACGCUAGCGGGAUGCUUUACACAUGCAAGUCGAACGGCAGCACGAGAGAGCUUGCUCUCUUGGUGGCGAGUGGCGGACGGGUGAGUAAUAUAUCGGAACGUGCCCAGUAGCGGGGGAUAACUACUCGAAAGAGUGGCUAAUACCGCAUACGCCCUACGGGGGAAAGGGGGGGAUUCUUCGGAACCUCUCACUAUUGGAGCGGCCGAUAUCGGAUUAGCUAGUUGGUGGGGUAAAGGCUCACCAAGGCAACGAUCCGUAGCUGGUUUGAGAGGACGACCAGCCACACUGGGACUGAGACACGGCCCAGACUCCUACGGGAGGCAGCAGUGGGGAAUUUUGGACAAUGGGGGAAACCCUGAUCCAGCCAUCCCGCGUGUAUGAUGAAGGCCUUCGGGUUGUAAAGUACUUUUGGCAGAGAAGAAAAGGUAUCCCCUAAUACGGGAUACUGCUGACGGUAUCUGCAGAAUAAGCACCGGCUAACUACGUGCCAGCAGCCGCGGUAAUACGUAGGGUGCAAGCGUUAAUCGGAAUUACUGGGCGUAAAGCGUGUGUAGGCGGUUCGGAAAGAAAGAUGUGAAAUCCCAGGGCUCAACCUUGGAACUGCAUUUUUAACUGCCGAGCUAGAGUAUGUCAGAGGGGGGUAGAAUUCCACGUGUAGCAGUGAAAUGCGUAGAUAUGUGGAGGAAUACCGAUGGCGAAGGCAGCCCCCUGGGAUAAUACUGACGCUCAGACACGAAAGCGUGGGGAGCAAACAGGAUUAGAUACCCUGGUAGUCCACGCCCUAAACGAUGUCAACUAGCUGUUGGGGCCGUUAGGCCUUAGUAGCGCAGCUAACGCGUGAAGUUGACCGCCUGGGGAGUACGGUCGCAAGAUUAAAACUCAAAGGAAUUGACGGGGACCCGCACAAGCGGUGGAUGAUGUGGAUUAAUUCGAUGCAACGCGAAAAACCUUACCUACCCUUGACAUGUCUGGAAUCCCGAAGAGAUUUGGGAGUGCUCGCAAGAGAACCGGAACACAGGUGCUGCAUGGCUGUCGUCAGCUCGUGUCGUGAGAUGUUGGGUUAAGUCCCGCAACGAGCGCAACCCUUGUCAUUAGUUGCUACGCAAGAGCACUCUAAUGAGACUGCCGGUGACAAACCGGAGGAAGGUGGGGAUGACGUCAAGUCCUCAUGGCCCUUAUGGGUAGGGCUUCACACGUCAUACAAUGGUCGGGACAGAGGGUCGCCAACCCGCGAGGGGGAGCCAAUCUCAGAAACCCGAUCGUAGUCCGGAUCGCAGUCUGCAACUCGACUGCGUGAAGUCGGAAUCGCUAGUAAUCGCGGAUCAGAAUGUCGCGGUGAAUACGUUCCCGGGUCUUGUACACACCGCCCGUCACACCAUGGGAGUGGGUUUCACCAGAAGUAGGUAGCCUAACCGUAAGGAGGGCGCUUACCACGGUGGGAUUCAUGACUGGGGUGAAGUCGUAACAAGGUAGCCGUAUCGGAAGGUGCGGCUGGAUCACCUCCUUU